RNAcentral lists this ribosomal RNA (468 nucleotides) under uncultured bacterium. Its description in RNAcentral is "partial 16S ribosomal RNA". It matches the Rfam family "Bacterial small subunit ribosomal RNA", at positions 28 to 507 of the family's 1533-position model. The record is from RNAcentral.
GACGAACGCUGGCGGCGUGCUUAACACAUGCAAGUCGAACGGAAAGGCCCUGCUUUUGUGGGGUGCUCGAGUGGCGAACGGGUGAGUAACACGUGAGUAACCUGCCCUUGACUUUGGGAUAACUUCAGGAAACUGGGGCUAAUACCGGAUAGGAGCUCCUGCUGCAUGGUGGGGGUUGGAAAGUUUCGGCGGUUGGGGAUGGACUCGCGGCUUAUCAGCUUGUUGGUGGGGUAGUGGCUUACCAAUGCUUUGACGGGUAGCCGGCCUGAGAGGGUGACCGGCCACAUUGAGACUGCGAUACGGCCCAGACGCCUACGGGAGGCAGCAGUGGGGAAUAUUGCACCAUGGGCGGAAGCCUGAUGCAGCAACGCCGCGUGCGGGAUGACGGCCUUCGGGUUGUAAACCGCUUUCGCCUGUGACGAAGCGUGAGUGACGGUAAUGGGUAAAGAAGCACCGGCUAACUACGUG